GAAAUGCGAUAAUUAAUGUGAAUUGCAGAAUUCAGUGAAUCAUCGAGUCUUUGAACGCACAUUGCGCCCCCUGGUAUUCCGGGGGGCAUGCCUGUCCGAGCGUCAUUGCUGCCCUCAAGCACGGCUUGUGUGUUGGGCUCCCGUCCCUGGCAACGGGGACGGGCCCAAAAGGCAGUGGCGGCACCAUGUCUGGUCCUCGAGCGUAUGGGGCUUUGUCACCCGCUCCCGUAGGUCCAGCUGGCAGCUAGCCUCGCAACCAAUCUUUUUAACCAGGUUGACCUCGGAUCAGGUAGGGAUACCCGCUGAACUUAAGC
RNAcentral lists this unclassified non-coding RNA (314 nucleotides) under plant metagenome. Its description in RNAcentral is "partial contains 5.8S ribosomal RNA, internal transcribed spacer 2, and large subunit ribosomal RNA". The stretch from base 1 to 105 matches the Rfam family "5.8S ribosomal RNA", at positions 50 to 154 of the family's 154-position model. The record is from RNAcentral.